GGCUCCGUAGGUUAAUGGCUAGACCAAUAGGUUUUCAUCCUAUAGGCGUGGGUUCGAAUCCCAUCGGAGUUACCA
RNAcentral lists this transfer RNA (75 nucleotides) under Bacteroidia bacterium. Its description in RNAcentral is "tRNA-Glu". It matches the Rfam family "tRNA". From Rfam's summary of the family: Transfer RNA (tRNA) molecules are approximately 80 nucleotides in length. Their secondary structure includes four short double-helical elements and three loops (D, anti-codon, and T loops). Further hydrogen bonds mediate the characteristic L-shaped molecular structure. tRNAs have two regions of fundamental functional importance: the anti-codon, which is responsible for specific mRNA codon recognition, and the 3' end, to which the tRNAs corresponding amino acid is attached (by aminoacyl-tRNA synthetases). tRNAs cope with the degeneracy of the genetic code in two manners: having more than one tRNA (with a specific anti-codon) for a particular amino acid; and 'wobble' base-pairing, i.e. permitting non-standard base-pairing at the 3rd anti-codon position. The record is from RNAcentral. Lineage: Bacteria; Pseudomonadati; Bacteroidota; Bacteroidia.